UAAGCGGCUUUUUUUUUAAAAAAAGCCACACAUUUUAACAAAAUAUUAAAC
Molecule: non-coding RNA, 51 nt
Organism: Biomphalaria glabrata
Lineage: Eukaryota; Metazoa; Mollusca; Gastropoda; Planorbidae
Source: Rfam